GGGGGUCCUGUUUGUGUAAGGUGGGCCAGGUUGUGUAGGGGGUCCAGUUUAUGUAAGAGGGUCCAGUUUGUGUAAGGUGGGCCAGGUUGUGUAAGGUGGGCCAGGUUGUGUAAGGUGGGCCAGGUUAUGUAAGGUGCGCCAGGUUAAGUGAAGUGGGCCAGGUUGUGUAGGGGUCCAGUUUGUGUAAGGUGGGCCAGGUUGUGUAGGGGGUCCAGUUUAUGUAAGAGGGUCCAGUUUGUGUUAGGUGGGCCAGGUUGUGUAAGGUGGGCCAGGUUAAGUAAGGUGAGCCAGGUUAAGUAAGGUGAGCCAGGUUGUGUAGGGGUCCAGUUUGUGUAAGGUGGGCCAGGUUGUGUAGGGGGUC
This is a long non-coding RNA of Austrofundulus limnaeus, 361 nucleotides long. RefSeq lists it as uncharacterized. The record is from RefSeq and is a predicted model, not a curated record. The transcript has 3 exons. NCBI's taxonomy places the organism in Eukaryota, Metazoa, Chordata, Actinopteri, Cyprinodontiformes, Rivulidae.